Molecule: long non-coding RNA, 215 nt
Filed under: Elaeis guineensis (African oil palm)
Lineage: Eukaryota; Viridiplantae; Streptophyta; Magnoliopsida; Arecales; Arecaceae
Description: long non-coding RNA (EGUI_LNC081081)
Source: RNAcentral
CAUAUUAGCAACCUCGGCCUCCGUCCUCCUCACCAUCUCCUCCAAGGCGGCCUUCUGUUCCACCGAGGUUUGUUUCUCCCUCUCAAGCACUUCUCGAAGACCGGCCGCCUCGAGGGCCAAUUCCUUAAGGUGGGCAGCCUCGGCCUGCUGACCUUCCACUGCCUUGUUUGUCAUCUCAAUGUUGGCGAGGAGUUGGUGUCCGAGCUGCAAGGGCG